GACGGGGCCCGCACAAGCGGUGGAGCAUGUGGUUUAAUUCGACGCAACGCGAAGAACCUUACCAGGGCUUGACAUCCCCUGACCGCGUAUGAAAGUACGUUUUCACCCUCGGGUGACAGGGAGACAGGUGGUGCAUGGUUGUCGUCAGCUCGUGUCGUGAGAUGUUGGGUUAAGUCCCGCAACGAGCGCAACCCCUACGUUUAGUUGCUAACGCGUGAAGGCGAGCACUCUAGACGAACUGCCGUUGACAAAACGGAGGAAGGUGGGGAUGACGUCAAAUCAUCAUGCCCCUUAUGUUCUGGGCUACACACGUGCUACAAUGGCCGGUACAGACGGACGCAAAGCCGCGAGGUGGAGCAAAUCCUAAAAAGCCGGUCUCAGUUCGGAUUGCAGGCUGCAAUUCGCCUGCAUGAAGUCGGAAUCGCUAGUAAUCGCAGGUCAGCAUACUGCGGUGAAUACGUUCCCGGGCCUU
RNAcentral lists this ribosomal RNA (472 nucleotides) under uncultured Pelotomaculum sp. RNAcentral describes it as "bacterial SSU rRNA". It matches the Rfam family "Bacterial small subunit ribosomal RNA", at positions 916 to 1381 of the family's 1533-position model. The record is from RNAcentral. Lineage: Bacteria; Bacillati; Bacillota; Clostridia; Eubacteriales; Desulfotomaculaceae.